UACAGAGGUCCCAAGCGUUGUUCGGAUUCACUGGGCGUAAAGCGUGCGCAGGCGGUUCGUUGUGUCGGUGGUGAAAUCCCCGGGCUUAACCUGGGAAUGGCCAUGGAAACUGGCGAACUGGAGUGCGGCAGAGGGGGGUGGAAUUCCGCGUGUAGCAGUGAAAUGCGUAGAGAUGCGGAGGAACACCGAUGGCGAAGGCAGCCCCCUGGGCUAGCACUGACGCUCAGGCACGAAAGCGUGGGGAGCAAACAGG
Molecule: ribosomal RNA, 253 nt
Filed under: uncultured bacterium
Lineage: Bacteria
Description: partial 16S ribosomal RNA
Rfam family: Bacterial small subunit ribosomal RNA
Source: RNAcentral